UACGGAGGAUGCGAGCGUUAUCCGGAUUUAUUGGGUUUAAAGGGUGCGUAGGCGGUCCGUUAAGUCAGCGGUAAAAUUGCGGGGCUCAACCCCGCCGAGCCGUCGGAACCGGGGGCCUUGAGUACCGGAGAAGUACGCGGAAUGCGUGGUGUAGCGGUGAAAUGCAUAGAUAUCACGCAGAACCCCGAUUGCGAAGGCAGCGUACCGGCCGGUCACUGACGGAGGCACGAAAGCGCGGGUAUCGAACAGG
This 250-nucleotide ribosomal RNA is filed under the name uncultured Bacteroidales bacterium. Its description in RNAcentral is "partial 16S ribosomal RNA". It matches the Rfam family "Bacterial small subunit ribosomal RNA", at positions 524 to 776 of the family's 1533-position model. The record is from RNAcentral. Lineage: Bacteria; Pseudomonadati; Bacteroidota; Bacteroidia; Bacteroidales.